RNAcentral lists this small nuclear RNA (123 nucleotides) under Canis lupus familiaris (dog). Its description in RNAcentral is "U4 spliceosomal RNA (multiple genes)". It matches the Rfam family "U4 spliceosomal RNA". Rfam says of the family: U4 small nuclear RNA (U4 snRNA) is a component of the major U2-dependent spliceosome. The structure of U4 snRNA from yeast and human has been reported. U4 snRNA presents a k-turn RNA motif in the 5p-SL related to recognition of Snu13 protein. Lineage: Eukaryota; Metazoa; Chordata; Mammalia; Carnivora; Canidae. The record is from Rfam by way of RNAcentral. RNAcentral also lists the same sequence under 1 other name.
AGCUUUGUGCAGUGACAGUAUCGUAGCCAAUGAGAUUUAUCUGAGGAGCGAUUAUUGCCAAUUGAAAAAAUAAUUUAUAUACACUAAAGUGUACUAUUUGGGUUUUGUUUGUUUGUUUUUAAG